UACCAGCACCCCGAGUGGUCGGGACGAUUAUUGGGCCUAAAGCAUCCGUAGCCGGUUCUACAAGUCUUCCGUUAAAUCCACCCGCUUAACAGAUGGGCUGCGGAGGAUACUAUAGAGCUAGGAGGCGGGAGAGGCAAGCGGUACUUAGUGGGUAGGGGUAAAAUCCGUUGAUCCAUUGAAGACCACCAGUGGCGAAGGCGGCUUGCCAGAACGCACUCGACGGUGAGGGAUGAAAGCUGGGGGAGCAAACCGG
RNAcentral lists this ribosomal RNA (253 nucleotides) under uncultured bacterium. Its description in RNAcentral is "partial 16S ribosomal RNA". It matches the Rfam family "Archaeal small subunit ribosomal RNA", at positions 474 to 727 of the family's 1478-position model. The record is from RNAcentral.